CGUUCCCGGGCCUUGUACACACCGCCCGUCACAUCACGAAAGUGGAUUGUACUAGAAGUCCUAAUCAACAGGCCCAAGGUAUGAUUCGAUGAUUGGGUG
Molecule: ribosomal RNA, 99 nt
Filed under: uncultured bacterium
Lineage: Bacteria
Description: partial 16S ribosomal RNA
Source: RNAcentral